GUCUAUGACCACACCAUCCUGAACACGCCCGAUCUCCGCUGAUCUCAGAAGCUAAGCAGGGUCAGAUCCGGUCAGUACUUGGAUGGGAGAGCAAUACCCGACAUCCUCCCCU
Molecule: ribosomal RNA, 112 nt
Filed under: Jaculus jaculus (lesser Egyptian jerboa)
Lineage: Eukaryota; Metazoa; Chordata; Mammalia; Rodentia; Dipodidae
Source: RNAcentral